AGUACCAUCUGGUGUAUAUUUUGUAUGAGUUUUCUUGCAGCCUUGCCGAGCUAGGUGUUUUUUGUAUCAGGGUGAUGUUUUUGUCCCAGGCUGCUUCUGUCAUGGGUUCUUCCAGGUCUUCCUCACAGUUUCUCAUACAAGGGGGUGCCAGUAUAUACCUUCCUGUAACCAGCAUUGCAUAUAUCUGUGAAAUGGCACGUGGGGUUUCGGUUUCUUGCGUACAGAGUAGUUCGAAUUGUGUGGGGUCUCUCAGUAAUGAUGGUUUUUGCGGGAUAGACCGAGCAUAUCCUACUAUUUGUGCUCUCGCCAGUGUGUGUGCAAAGG
Non-coding RNA from Pelobates cultripes (western spadefoot toad), 324 nucleotides. NCBI's taxonomy places the organism in Eukaryota, Metazoa, Chordata, Amphibia, Anura, Pelobatidae. The record is from the annotation of a GenBank genome assembly.